Molecule: ribosomal RNA, 448 nt
Filed under: uncultured bacterium
Lineage: Bacteria
Description: bacterial SSU rRNA
Rfam family: Bacterial small subunit ribosomal RNA
Source: RNAcentral
CCAGACUCCUACGGGAGGCAGCAGUGGGGAAUAUUGGGCAAUGGGCGCAAGCCUGACCCAGCAACGCCGCGUGAAGGAAGAAGGCCCUCGGGUUGUAAACUUCUUUUAUCAAGGACGAAACAAAUGACGGUACUUGAUGAAUAAGCCACGGCUAACUACGUGCCAGCAGCCGCGGUAAUACGUAGGUGGCAAGCGUUAUCCGGAUUUAUUGGGUGUAAAGGGUGCGUAGACGGGCUAACAAGUUAGUUGUGAAAUCCCUCGGCUCAACUGAGGAACUGCAACUAAAACUAUUAGUCUCUGAGUGCGGGAGAGGAAAGUGGAAUUCCUAGUGUAGCGGUGAAAUGCGUAGAUAUUAGGAGGAACACCAGUGGCGAAGGCGACUUUCUGGACCGUAACUGACGUUGAGGCACGAAAGUGUGGGGAGCAAACAGGAUUAGAUACCCGGGUA